AGGAUAAUAGUUUAAUUAAAACAUUUAAAUUGCAAUUAAAAAAUAUUAAUAAUUAAUUUAUCUUA
Molecule: transfer RNA, 65 nt
Filed under: Stenobiella sp. YW-2016
Lineage: Eukaryota; Metazoa; Arthropoda; Insecta; Neuroptera; Berothidae
Description: tRNA-Ala
Source: RNAcentral